GGUGGACAGCAGCAGGAAUUUCUCCACAAAGAAGUUUUCACAAAGAGUUUCCAAGCCCUGGAAGAGGCUGCUCAGGGCAGUGGUGGAAUCACCACUGCUGGAGGGAUUUCAAACCAUACAGAUGUGGAUGUGGCACUCGGGGACAUGGGUCAGAAUGGCCUUGCAGUGCUGGAUCAGUGUUUGGACUCGAUGAUCUUGGAGGUCUUCUCCAUCCUAAAUGAUUCUAUGAUUCCCAGAAUUUUAAGUCUUUUCUAUCCCAUCAGAUGAAAAGGGGGAAGAAAACCUCUUUGAUUUCACUCUGCUGUCUUAGGAUUUGCUCACUGUCCUUGCCCAUGGCACAGGGUGGAAGUGGAUGAGCUUUGAGGUCCCUUCCAACCCAAACCAUCCCAGGAUUCUGUGAUUCCUGGGAUGAUCUCAGAGCUGGGCUGCUCCACCAGGAUGCAGCGAGAGGGAUGAAAGCCAUGGAGAGCAAGCAGAAUUAAACCAGAGUCAAAUCAUUCCAACUAGGUCGGGGUGAAUUAUUCAUAGCAAAUAAUUUAUUCACCGAACUCGACCUCAUUUCCCACAGCAGCGCUCCACUGUGCCAAAUUUAUUCCUGUCUGGGGAUCAUUCCCAGAGCAGCUCCUGUCCCAGAGGCUGAUGGGGUGCUCUUAAUAAUUCAAAUCUGUCGGGGUGCCAGUAGUUUUCCAGGGACUGUGUGCUCCCCUUUCUGCUGCCUCUGGGUAAAUGUGCCAGGGAAGAGGAUUUGGGAUCUUGUAACUUUUUCUGGGUCAGGCUGGAAUCCAACAAGACACCUUUAAUCCCGGGAUGAAUUCUCCCCCUAUUCCUCCAACACUUUCCCUGCCUUUUGGUCCAUUAUCCAAGCAGCUCCUGAGCAAAGCUGAAAGGAGAUUUACUCCUGUCACAGAGAUUUGAUUCCUCGUUAGCGCUGCCUUUGUUAAUUGGCAAUUAAACAGCGCCGGGGCCGCGUCCUGCCCGCGCCCCGAGCGCGCCUCCCGACCCCGUCUCUAAUCAGCCGCUCAUUAUCAGCGCUGCGUUAAUUAGCAGGCUCCGGAGACCACGGCGCCGCUCCUGCCUCUGGGGCCCUCUCCUGCAGAAGGAGCAUUAACGAGCUCCAAAUCCGCCUAAUUAAAUCUGGGGGCUGCGGGAGGGAUCCCCCCGUGCGGCCGGGAGAGCGGAGCGGGGACUCCUCCUGCUGCUGGCAGCGCAUCCUCAGCCGCCCGCAGGGGCUGGGAAUUCCUUCCCUGGCAGCUCAGGGCUCCUGGGACCCAUUUCCACCUUUUUUCCUGCUGCCCAUCAUCAAUUCACCCGGGUUUUCCCACCUUUUUUUCCCGCUGGUCAUCAUUAAUUCACCUGGGUUGUGGCUGCGAUUGCACGUUCUUCAUCAGUUCAGGGAAGGAGCAGCAGGCUCCUAAAAUUUCCUUCUGGGUUCCAGAAAGAUGGGAAAUGAUCAAAAUUAGAGUUGGGAAUUUUUUAAUGUUUGUUUUGGUUCUAUUAUUUUUGGUUUUGUUGGGAUUUUUUUCAUAGUUCUUUCUUUUCCCCAUCUUUCCCCCUUUUUUUCCUCCUCCUGACUCUUUUCCCUUCCCCUCACCCCUUUCCCUCUCAAUUUUUUCCAUCCUGUUUUAAACCAUGAGCUACAGCUCUGACACAGCCUUGAAGCACAACUUCAGGCAGAAGAAAAGGCAAAAAAUUGGGAAAAAGUUAAUUUUUUUAAAAUUGAGUACACUCUAAGCAACUUGUUCAAUUUUUUUUUUUAACGUAUAUUCUUAUCCCUAAGUCUUUGAGAAAACUUGAGGUUUUCUCUUCUAGCCUGGUUCAAGAUGGAAAUCAAAAGUUCUUGAUUUAAGUUUUUCAAGGAGAAAUUUUGGGUCAAGCAGAAUAUUUUGAGUUUGAAAAAUGUUACCAAUUUCAAUUGGAUUCCUUUUAAAGGGAUCUGCUAGAAAUGGAGAGGAAUUAAACACAGAUAAAAUUAGAAAAUAGCCUGGAAAGGCUUGAAAUUCCACAGUCUGCACAAGGAGAUAUUUUUAUGUAUAAGGUUAUUUUGUAAUGUUGAAAAAAGUUAAUAUAACUUUUGUUUGCAGUUUCAGCCUUUUGGCUGCAUUUUUAGCAUUGGGAAAACACACCAGGAAAGCUCAAGGAUCAAAUCCCUCCUGGCUGUGCCCGUGUCUGGCUGAGUCCUGGCUCCUCUGGGUGCCCACGGUGAUUUGGGGCAUUGAUUUGGGAUGUGGGGUGAGCAAUGUCUCACCCAGCCGUGGUGGCAGAGCUAUUUUGGAUCCAAGCUGAAUCAAUUCCAUUCUUCUAACUGCUCCAUCCUCAGCAGGAGCUCUCCAGACAUGCCAGAAAUUCAAUUUGAAAAGAGAUUUUCUCAAGCCAGGAGCUUCCAAGGCAGGAAUUUUCCCUGCGUUUGGGAGGAUCUCGGGUGGUUUUAGCUGAGGUCUCUUGGCUUUGGCUGCUGCAGGUUCGGAGGCAUUUCUCUCUUAUUUUAUGGCUUUUUUUUUGGCCAAGAAAUGGGCAGCUGGAAGGUGCAACCUGCAGCUCACCUUGGCAGGGCAAGAACUCCUCAAGUGCUGUCCAAAGGGAGGUGAAUCCCAGUUUGGCACCCUGAGGGGACACAGGGACUCGUCCCAUCCCAUCUUCCCUCUCCUGAGCUGCCCAUCCCUGAUGGAAGAGCAACUCAACCCCCCCUUUCUGCUCCUUGCUGGGUUCUCACACUGGGAAUUCCGAUGGCCUGGAGGUGUCUGAGUUACCUGUUUGACCAGUUUGGAUACUGGGAUGGAGAAAAAAGCAGUGCAGGGGGAAAUGCAGGGAGGAGGGCAAGGAUGUGGGGUAGGGAGAGCCUCUUCCAGGUUCCUAUUGGCAGCAAAAUGUGGGGUUUGCUCAGCCAGACUUCCAAAAGUGGGAAUCCCCUGGGAAAAUCUUGCCCUAAAUCCUCUGUCCCUGGCUAAAAUUGAGGAGGAGAGCACUGCUCAUACAGCUGUGGGUGGCCUGUGUUCUGCAUCCCUAUCCUUUGGGAAUUCACCUGGGAAAUCAGCUGGGGAGACCUGAGAUGUGGUUUUUGGUGGUGGUUUUUGGGAGGAUAGAGCUCUCCUGUGGGGAAUUGUUCCUCGUUUGCCUGUUCUUCACUUGCAUGCAUCUUCUUUCUCUCUGCAUCCCUUACCUCUCCCACUCCAGUGGGAUUCUGGGACUGUGAUUUUUAACUGUGGGCUCUCAUUUAUGUUUUUUUGCAGCUUUUUGUGUGCUGAGGGCAGAAUUGGAAUGAAAUCUCGUUUCAUUUGACAUGAGUGAACAGAAAAAAAAAAAACAAACCUGUGGUGUUGCCAGCACUUGAUACUGUCACUGAGAAAGAGGCUGGACUUGGAUUUCCCUGUUUCUGGGGCUGGGCAGACACAGAAUAACUUCUGGGCAUGCUGUGAGGGAGAUCACAAUGGUUUGUCCCAGACUUCAGUGACAGGGACAUUAUUACAGUGGUCUCUUUUCCCUGCAGGGUGCAGUGAGAGCUGCAAAUGUGUCAAUAGGUAAACAAGGAGAUUUCAGCUCCUCUGAGCAGAUUUGACACUGGACCAGCACUUUGUGCCCUUUGUCUGUUCAUAUCAACACCAACAAGUGUCCCCUUGGGGGGGAAUUGUCUGCUUGGCUGGCAGAAGGUGCCAGGGUUGGGGUCUGCCCUCCCUGAGGGCAUGGAAGUGUCCAGGGCCAGGCUGGAUGGAGCUUGGAGCAGCCUGGGCUAGGGAGAGGUCCCUGCCCAUGGCAGGGGCUGGGAUGAGAUGAUUUAAGGUCUUUUCCAGCUCCAACCACUCUGGGAUUCUAAGGAAGCUCAGUCCAUACAUUGUGGAAGUUGGAAGUUUCUCAAAGCAGGAAGUUUAUCCCAGAGAAGGAAAACUUGGCCAAGUCUUUGUGCCCCAGCCAGGGCUUGGUUUGGGGAAAACCCAGGAGCAGCACUCGGGGCUCCCCCUGAAGCUCCAGCAGGUCCCUGCUCUCACCUGCCCCUCGCUCCCUUCCCCAGCAGGAAAAUGCCCAUCAGCAGAGGAGUUUCCCAGCAAAAUCUGCAUCUCUGACAACAGUGCCAGGCUUGUGCCCACUGCUGCAGUGCCCAGAGCCCUGGGGUGAGGGCAGCUGGCAUCUCUGGCAGCCUUUAGGGGCUGUUGUUGAACAAAGAGCAGGUUUCUGGGCAGGCAGAGGAUGGAAAUAACAGCCCCAGCAGCUUUCAGAAGGGAUGGAAUCUCUCCCCAGCAAGGGGCCCAGGCCAGGCUGCCACUGUGUUUUUGAGGCUGUGCUCAGGCAGAUCAACACCCAGGGACUUCCUUGGGCUGCAAAUCCCUCUGGAGAAGAGAAACCCCGAGGUUUGUCUGAUGCAGAUCCAGACAGGGAUGUUUUCAAGCAGCUACUGAAAGCUGAGGAGUCAUCAGGCUGCUGAAGGAGGAGAAUUCCAUCCUUUUAGCAAGGCUUGGGGCAUGGAGCUGCUCUGCUGCAAGCAGGUCAAAGCUUUCCAAAGCAAUUUCAGGUGCUUCCUGCUCAGGAGAAUGAUGGGCUUGCCCUGCCAGAGGAUAAACUAAGCAAUUAAGCAAUGACACCUAAAUUAUUUUUACUUUUAACCCAAUAACCAACCACCCAUGCCCUGCAAUGUGGAUUUUUCUAUCCAAUUACACAAAUUGUGUAAUUCUGUGAAGAAUAAGGUGAAGAAGGAGGUGAAGAAGAAGGAGCAGCCUCUGCCCUAAAACCUCCAUCUUGCUUUAUAUAUCUGUUACUAUAUUCUAAACCC
Molecule: non-coding RNA, 4759 nt
Organism: Taeniopygia guttata (zebra finch)
Lineage: Eukaryota; Metazoa; Chordata; Aves; Passeriformes; Estrildidae
Source: RefSeq, a predicted model, not a curated record